Molecule: long non-coding RNA, 30733 nt
Filed under: Equus caballus (horse)
Lineage: Eukaryota; Metazoa; Chordata; Mammalia; Perissodactyla; Equidae
Description: lncRNA (ENSECAG00000033132.3)
Source: RNAcentral
CUAUUUUCUCCCCUGAAGUAGCUUGAUUUUUCCCCAUGAUAUCAUUUUACUUCCUUAAUUUAUUUGGGUCAUCAGCAGUUUCUAAAGGUUACUUCCCUUAUUCAGUCUUGGGAAAGAGCUGUUCUUUUCAUUUUCUGGGUAAGUGCAGUUAAUAUUUAUAGAUCUCUACAGUAUUCUUUGCAGGGGGCGAGACUCGGGUUAUGCUGGAGGACGGAACAAGCCUUGGGGCAAACAUGAGCCAAGUUGGAUUCACCUUUCCCAGCAGAGUCACAUGGGUAAGCACAAGCGUUAUGAAGAGAGCCCAUACAGCAACUAGUAACAGCAGAUUGAGCAAGGAGGACCCUCAGCCAUUCCUGCAGGGGUUGCUUUGCAACUCCCAUGCUUGGUGUGCCCUGACUGUGUCACUGGGCUGUAGCAGUUGCAGGAUGGCAUCUGGCAUGGAACUGGUGGAAUCACAUGCUAGACACAACAGAACCAUCUUCUGGACAUACCAGAACCACCUGACUGACACGCUGGAACAACCUGCUGGACAUGAUGGAACCACCCUCUGGACAUGCCAGAACCACCACUGGAUAUGCUGCAACCAACCACCAGACACUACUGAUCCACCUGCUGGACAGCACUGAUCCACCCGCCAAACAGGACUGAGCAACCAGUCAGACAUGCAGGAACCAAGUGCCUGACACCCCAGAACCACCGCCCGGACACGCCGGAACCACCUCCUGGAUCCGGUGGAACCAGGUGCCAGACACUGUGAAACCACCUGCCGGAUAUGCCAAAACCAGGUCCCGGAGAUGCCAGAACCACCUGCUGGACAAUCCUGAACCACCUGCCAGACAUGCCAGAACAACCUGCCAGACACACGGAAAUCACCUGCCAGAUAUGCCAGAACCAGGUCCUGAAUACACCGGAACCAACUUCUGCACCAGCCGGAAAAACUUGCUGUACAUGCCAAAAUCACCUGCCUAAAACGCCAUAACCACUACCCAGACAUGCUGAAACCACGACCCGACAUGACGGAAUCAGGUGCUGGACACGCUAUAGACACCUGCUGGACAUGCUGGAUUCACCUGUCAGACAUGCAGGAACCAACUGCCAGACACCCCAGAAGCAACCACUGAACACAUCAGAAUGACCACACAGACACACCGGAACCACUAGCCACACAGUCUUUUAGCCAACUGCUGGACGUGCCGGAAGCACUCACCAGAAACACCGGAACCACCUCCUGAACAUAACAGAACCACAUUCCAGACACACCUUAACCACAUGCCAGACACACCGGAACCACUUGUUGGAUAUGCCAGAACCAGGUGCCAGAUUCACUGAAACCACCUGCCAAAUAUGUCAGAACCAGGUACCAGACAUGGCAAAACCUGGUGCCCUAAGUCCAGAACCACCUGCUGGACAUGCCUGAACCACCUGCCAGACUUGCAUGAACCAUCUGCCAGACACACAGGAAUCAUCUGCUGGAUAUGCUAGAAAUAGAUGUCACACACGCUGAAACCAGGUGCCAGACAUGACUGAACCACCUGCCUGACAUGCUGGAACCACCUGAAUGACACACAGGUACCACUGUCCAGACAUGCUGGAACCAGGUGCUGGACACGACUGAACCAAAUAACGGACAAGCCUGAACCACCUGCUGGACAUGCCAUAACCACCUUCAGGAUGCGCUGGAACCAUCUGGUGGACAUGCCAGAAUGACCUGCCAAACACGCCAGAGCCAGGUGCCGGACAAGCUGGAACUGCCUGCUUGACGCGCCAGAACCCAGGGCCAGACAUACUCAAAGGAAAUGUCGGACAUGCCGAACCACUUGCCGGAAACACCCGGACAACAUGCCGAACACCCCGCCGAACACCCCCAAAGCACCUUCCGGACAGGCCUGAAUCAGAUGCUGGACACACCCAAACCAUCCUUUGGACACAUCAGAACCACGUUUCAGAAGUGCCUGGACCACGGGAUGGCCAUGCCUGGACCAUGUGCCAGAUGCACCUGGACCAGCUGACAGACAAGCCUGAAAAACCUGCUGGACAUGCCAGAACUACCCACCAGACAUACUGGAACCAUCCACUGGAAACGCCUGAACCACCUGCAUGACACGCUGGAACCAACUGCGGGACACAUCAGAACCAUCACCCAGAAACUCUGCAACCACGCCCAGAGACACCAGAAUUGGGUCCCAGACACACAGGAAGCACAUGCCAGACAUGCUGGGACCACCUGCAGGAACCGCUGGAAUCACCCGCCAGACAUGAUGGACUCACAUUCCAGAAACGCUGGAACCACCUGCUGGAUACAACAGAAACAGGUGUCCCACACACCAAAACCACAUUCCACUCAUGACAGAACCACCUCUGGACAUGCUGGAGCCACCUGCCAGAUACACCAGAACAGGUACACACAUGCCGGAACCAGGUGCUGGAAAGGACUGAACCAACUGCCAGACAAGCCUGAACCACCUGCUCGACAGGACUGAUCCACAUGCUGGACAGCACUGAUCCACCCUCCAAACACUUCUGAAUCACCACCUGGACACGCCAGAACCAUCUGCCUGACACCCCGGAACCAGGACCUGGACACCGUGAAACCACCUGCUGGAUACACCAGAAACACAUGCCUGAAAUGCCAGAUCCACCUGCCGGACAAGCCGGAAUCACCUGCCAGACAUGCCAAUAUCACCUGCCGAAUACACCAGAACCAGGUACUGGAUAUGCCAGAACCAACUUCCUGACAGGCUGGAAAAACCUGCCAGACAAGCUGGAACCACCACCCGGACUUGCCGAAACCACCAACCACACACAACGGAAUCAGGUCCCGGACAGGCGAGAAUCACCAGUCGGACAUGCGGGAACCAACUGCUAGACGCCCCAGAAGCAACCACUGGAUACGUCAGAACCACCUUCCGGACAUACCAGAAACUCAUUCAAGACACAUGUGAAACCCCUUGCCUGACACGCUGGAACCACCUGAAUGACAUGCUGGUACCACUGUCCAGACCUGCUGGAAAUACCUGUCAGACAAACUGAACCACCUGCCAGACAAGACUGAACCACUUUAUGGACAUUCUGGAAGCACAUGCCGGGCAUGCUGGAACCAGGUGCCUGACAUGCCAGAACCACCUGCUGGACAUGCCUGAGCCACCUGCCAGACUUGCGUGAACCACUUGCUAGACAUGCAGGAACCACCUGCUGGAUACAUCAGAAAAUGGUGUCUCACACACUGAAAUCAGGUGCUGGACAUGACUGAACCACCUGCUGGAUACGCUGGCGCCACCUACCAGAUACACCAGAAACAAGUGUCGCACAUGCCAGAACCAGGUGCUGGACAAGACUGAACCACCUGCCGGACAAGCCUGAGCCACCAGCCAGCCAUGCUGUAACCACCUUCAGGAUGCGCUGGAACCAUCACGUGGACAUGCCGGAACCACCUACUGGAAGCACCAGAACCAGGAACCUAUAUGCAGGGAAACCUGCCAGACAUUCUGGAACCAGAAGCUGGACACACUGGAACAACCAGACAUGCCAGAACCACCCUCAAGACACGCCAGAACCAAUGGCCGGACACACCAGAAGCACCCACCCAACACGCCCAACCACCUUCUGAACAUACCAGAACCACAUGCCAAACUCGCCGGAACCACGGGUUGGAUAUGCCAGAACGAGGUGCUGGAUACACUGAAACCACCUGCCGAAAAUGCCAAAACCAGUUGCCAGACACGGCUGAAAAACCUGCCGGCCACCUCCAAAUCACCUGCUGGAUAUGCUGAAACCAUCUGCCGGACACACUGGAACCACCUCUUGGACAUGCCGAAACCAUCUGCCAGACACGCCAGAAACAGGUCCAGCACAGGCCAGAACCAGGUGCUGGACAAGCCUGAAGCAGCUGCUGGACUAGCCUGAGCCACCUGCUGGACCAGCCAGGACCACUUUAUGGACAUUCUGGAACCACAUGCCGGGCAUGCUGGAACCAGGUGCCUGACACGCCAGAACCACCUGCUGGACACGCCAGAACCACCAGCCAGCCUUGCGUGAAACACCUGCCAGACACGCCAGAACAACCUGCUAUAUCCACCAGAAACAGGUGUCACACAGACAGAAACAAGGUGCUGGACACAACUGAACCACCUGCCGGACAUGCUGGAGCCAACUGCCAGAAAUGACAGAAACAGGUGUCGCACAUGCCAGAAGCAGGUGCUGGACACGAUUGAACCACCUGCAGAACAAGACUGAACCACCUACUGGACAUGACUGAACCACCUGCAGGACAUGCCGUAACCACCUUCAGGAAACUCCAGAACCAUCUGGUGGCCAUGCCGGAAUGACCUGCCGAACAUGCUGGAACCACUUGCUGGACAGCCCCGGACCACCCACCAGACACCCCCAAAGCACCUCCAGGAAAUGCCUGAACCACCUGCCUCACACACUGGAACCACCUGCAGGAACCGCCAGAAUUGGAUUGAUGGUUUCGGCAUGUCUGGGUGGUGGUUCCGGCUUGUCUGGCAGGUUUUUCCAGCACCUGGUUCCAGUGUAUGUGGCAGGUGAUUUUGGCGUGCCCGGCAGUUUGUUCUGGCGUGUCAAGCAGGUGGUUCUGGCUUGUCCAGCAAGUGGUUCUGUCGUGUCCGGUACCUGGUUCUGGCGUAUCCCUCAGGUGGUUUCAUGGUGUCCCGCACCUGGUUCCGCCAAAUCUGACAGGUAGUUCCAGAGUCUCCAAAAGGUGGUUCCAUCGUAUCCGGUGGGUGAUUCUGGCAGUUCCCAAAUGUGGUUCCAGCGUGUCUGGCAGGUGCUUCCGGCGUGUCCAGGACCUGAUUCUGGUUUCUCUGGUGGGUUGUUCAAGAGCGUCCAGGUGGUGGUUCUGAGGUUUCCAGCAGUUAGUUCCAGCGUGUCAGGCAGGUGGUUCAGGCAUUUCUGGUGGAUGGUUCCAGUAUGUCCGGUGGGUAGUUCUGGCGUGUCUGGCUGAUUGUUCAGGUGUGUCUGUCAGCUGGUCCAGGUGCACCCGGCACAUGGUUCAGGCAUGACCAUCUCAUGGCACAGGCAUUUCUGAAACGUGGUUCUGACGAGUCCAAAUGGUGAUUUGGGUGUGUCUGGCAGCUGAUUCAGGCCUCUCUGGGAGAUGCUUUGGUGGUGUCCUGCAGGUGGUCCGGGUGUGUCCAGCGUGUCCUUCCAGUGAGUCUGCCCUGUCAUUCUGGCAUGUCCAGCCGGUGGUUCUGGCGUGUCCAGAACCUGGUUCCUGCAUGUUCAGUAGGUGGUUCCGGCAUGUCCACCAGAUGGUUGCGGCACAUCCGGAAGGUGGUUGUGGCAUGUCCACAAUGUGGUUCAGGCAUGUCCAGCAGGUGGUUCAGGCCUGUCCGGAAGGUGGUUCCAGCAUAUCCGGCAUGUGGUUCCGGAGUGUCCAUCAAGUGGUUCGGGCAUUUCCGGCAGGUGGUUCAGUCUUGUCUGGCAGGUAGUUCAGUUUUCUCUGGCAGGUGGUUACAGCAUGUCUGGCUGGUGGUACAGACGUGUCAUUCAGGUGGUUUUGGUGUGACAGGCAGGGGGUUCCUGUGUGUCUGGCAUGAGUUUCUGGUAUGUCCAGAAGGAGGUUCUGACAUGUCUGGUGGGUUCUUCUGGGGUAUCUGGCAGUGGGUUCCCGCAUGUCCAGAGGGUGAUUCUGGCGUGUUGGGACCUGAUUCUGUCGCUUUGGGUUAGUGGUAUCCGCGUGUCCGUGUGGUGGUUCCAGCAUGUCUGACAGGUUUUUCCGGCCUGUCCAGAAGUUGGUUCUGGCAUAUCCAGGCCCUGGUUCUGGUCUAUCCAGCAGGUGAUUUUGGCAUGUCUGGCAGGUUGUUCCAGUGUGUUAGGCAGGUGGUUCUGGCUUGUCUGGCAGGUGUUUCUGGCAUGUCCAGCACCUGGUUCUGGCAUAUCCAACAGGUGGUUCUAGCGUGUCUGGCAGGUGGUUGCUUUGUGUCUGGCAUGUGGUUCUGGUACAUUCGGAAGAUGGUUUAGGUGUGUCUGGUGGGUGCUUCCGACAUGUCCGUGAGUUGAUUCCAGCAUGUCUGGCAGGUCUUUCCGGCAUGUCUGAGUGGUGGUUCCAGUGUGUCUGACAGGUUGUUACAGGUGGUUCUGGCGUGUGCAGUGGGUGCUUCCAGCGUGUCUGGCGGGUGGUUCUGGCGUGUCUGUGUGGUGGUUCCAGUUUGUCCGGUGGGUGGUUCCGACAUGUCUGGUGGGUUGUUCCAGAAUAUAAGGGGCCUUGUUCGAGCUUAUCCGGCAGGUGAUUUCAGCAUGUCUGGCAGGUGGUUCCAGCAAGUCAAGCAGGUGGUUCUGGUGUGCUUGGCAGGUGGAUCAGGCAUGUCCAGCAGGUGGUUCUGGCCUGUCCGGAAGGUGGUUCUGGCGUGUCUGGUACCUGGUUCUGGCAUAUCUGACAGGUGGUUCUGGUGUGCCCAGCAUGUGGUUCCUGUGUGUCUGUCAAGUGGUUCAGGCAUAUCCAGCAGGUAGUUCAGUCUUGUCUGGCAGGUCAUUCAGUUUUGUCCAGCAGCUGGUUCCGGCAUGUCUGGCCAGUGGUACCAGCAUGUCAUUCAGGUGGUUCCAGCAUGUCCAGCUGGUUCUUCUAGCAUUUCUGGGCCCUGAUUCUGGCUUCUCCAGCAGCUGGUUCCAGAGUGUCUGGGUGGUGGUUCUGACGUGUCUGGCAGUUGGUUCCAGCAUGUCAGGAAGGUGGUUCAGGUGUUUCAGUUGGAUGGUUCCGGUGUGUCAGGCAGGUAGUUCCAGUGUGUCCGGCAUGUUGUUCAGGCAUGUCUGUCAGUUGGUCCAGGUGCAUCCGGCACAUGGUCAAUGCAUGGCACUUCUUUGGUCCAGAUAUUUCUGAAAUGUGGUUAUGAGGUGUCUGAAAGGUGGUUUGGGCUUGUCCAGCAGCUGAUUCAGGCCUCUCCGGGCAGGGCUUUGGGGGUGUCCAGCAGGUGGUCCGGGUUGAUCUGGCAAGUGGUUCCAGCAUGUCCAGGGUGUCCUUCCAGUAUGUCUGGCCUGUGGUUCCGGCAUGUCCACCAGGUGAUUCUGAUGUGUCUGGCACCUGGCUCCAGUAUGUUCGGAAGGUGAUUCUACCAUGUCCAAAAGAUGGUUCUGCCACAUCCUGAAGGUGGUCAUGGCAUGUCUGGCAGGUGGUUCAGUUGUGCCCAGCAGGUGGUGAAGGCUGGUCACGCAGGUGGUUCAGUCGUGUUCAGCACCUGUUUUCAGAGUGUCCGAACCUCUUUUUGGUGUAUCAUGAAGGUGGUUCCAGUGUGUCCGGCAGAUGGUUCAUGCAAGUCUGGCAGGUGGUUCAGGCAUGUCCAGCAGGUGGUUCUGGCGUGUCAGUCACCUGUUUCCGGCGUUCCCAGCAUGUGGUUCUGGAAUGUCCGUAAAGUGGUUCAGGCUGGUCCAGCAGGAGGUUCAGGCUAUUGUGGCAGCUGCUUCAGGCUUGACCGGCACCUGGUUCUGGCCUGUGCUGGACGUGUUUCUGGUGUAUCUGGCAGAUGCUUCCAGCAUGUCCGGGAGGUGGUUCCGGUGUGUCCGAGACAUGGUUUUGGCAUAUCUGACAGGUGAUGUGGACAUGUCUGGCACGUGUUUCCGCCAUGUCCGGCACCUGGUUCUGGCACAUUCGGCAGGUUUGUUCAGUGUAUCUGGCACCUGGUUCCAGCAUAUCCAACAGGUGGUUCCACUGUGUCUGUUAGGUGGUUCCUGUGUGUCUGGCAUGUGGUUCUGGUACGUUCGGAAGGUGGUUCUGGUAUGUUUCGUGGCUGCUUCCCUUGUGACCAGCAUUUGGUUCCUGCAUGUCUCAUGGUUGGUUCCGUCGUGUCUGAGUGGUGGUUCCAGUGUGUCCGGUGGGUGGUUCCAGCAUGUCUGGUGGGUUGUUCAGGCAGAUAAGUGGCCAGGUUCUGGCAUAUCCAGCAGGUGAUUUCAGUGUAUCCCACAGGUGGUUCCGGAGAGUCAAACAGGUCAUUGUGGUGUGUCCGGCAGGUGGUUCGCGCAUGUCCAGCAGGUGGUUCAUGACUGUCUGAAAGGUGGUUCUGGCGUCUCUGGCACCUGGUUUUGGCAUAUCUGACAGGUGUCUCCAGCAUGCCUGUCAUGUGGUUCCAGAGUGUCCGUCAUGUCAUUCAAGCAUAUCUGGCAGGUGGUUUAGUCUUGUGUGGCAGGUGUUUCAGCUUUGUCUGUCAGGUGGUUCUAGGAUGUCCUGCCAGUGGUACGGGCAUGUCAUUCAGGUGGUUUCAGCAUGUCCAGCAGGGGGUUCCUGUGUGUCUGUCAUGUGUUUCCAGUACGUCUGCAAGGUGGCUCUGACCUGUCUGUUGGGUGCAUCUGGGUGUCUGGCAGUUGGCUCCCAAAUGUCUGGCACAUCAUUCCGGUGUGUCCGGCAUGUGGCUACGGUUUGUCCUGGACCUGAUUCGGUCGUGUCAGGUUGGUAGUUUUGGUGUGCCUGGGUGGUGGUUCCAGCAUGACCAGCAGGUUUUUCCAAACUGUCUGGAAGUUGGUUCUGGCAUAUCCAGGACCUGGUUCCGGUGUAUCUGGCAGGUGAUUUCGGCAUGUCCAGCAGGUUAUUCUGGCCUGCCUGGCAGGUGUUUCUGGCUUCUCUGGCAGGUGGUUCUGGUGUGUCCGGCACCUGGUUCCACUGUAUCUGACAGGUGCUUCCAGCGUGUCUGGCAGGUGGUUUCAGAAUGUCAGGCAGGGGGUUCCUGUGUUUCUUGCAUGAGUUUCCGGUAUGUCCAGAAGGUGGUUCUGGCAUGUCCUGUGGGUGCUUCUGGCAUGUCCAGAAGUUGGUUCCCACAUUUCUGGCAGGUGAGUCCGGCAUGUCUAGCAGGUGGCUAUGGCGUGUCCAGAACCUGAUUCCGUCGGGACUGGUUGGUGGGUUUUGCGUGUAUGGGUGGUGGUUCUGUCCUCUCGAGCAGGUGGUUCUGGCAUGUCAGUCAGGUGGUUUCAUCAUGUCCUGCAGAUGCUUCCAGCAUGUCCUGGACCUGAUUCUUGCAUCUCCGGUGGGUGGUUCCAGAGUGUCUGGAUGGUGGUUCCAACAUGUCCAGCUGUUGGUUCGGGCGUGUCAGGCAGGUGGUUCAUGCAUGUCUGGUGGGUGGUUCUGGCAUCUGCAACAGAUGGCUCCGGCGCAUCUGGAAGGUGGUUUCAGCAUGUCUGGCAGGUGGUUCAGGCCUCUCCAGCAGAUGGUUCAGUCUUGUCCCACAGGUAAUUCAGCAGUGUGGGGCACCUGGUUCCAGUAUGUGCUGCACCUGUUUCUGAUGUAUCUGGCAGGUGGUUCUGGUGUGUCUGGCAUGUGGUUCCAUCACGUCUGGCACAUGGUUCCAGGGUGUCAUGCAGGCAAUUUCAAUGUGUCCGGUGGGUUGUUCCAGUGUGUCUGGCACCUGGUUCUGGCAUGUCUAACAGGUAGUUUCUGCGAAUCAGGAAUCUGGUUCCGGCCUAUCCAACAGAUGGUUCCAGUGUGUCUGGUAGGCGGUUCUGGAGUGUCCGGUACAUGGUUCCAGUGUAUCCAGGAGGUGAUUUUGAUGUGUCCGUCAGGUGGUUUUAGCAUGUCCAACACCUGGUUCCAUUGUAUCUGACAGUUGGUUCUGGAGUGUCCGGCAUGUGGUUCCGGGGUGUCUGGCAGGUGGUUCCAGCUUUUCUGGAAGGUGGUUCUGGCAUAUCUGACACCCGGUUCUGUGUAUCCGGCAGGUGCUUUCAUGGUAUCUGGCUCCUGGUUCUCCCAUAUCUGACAGCUGGUUCCAGCAUGUCUGCCAGGUGAUUCCAGGGUGUCAGGCAGUUGGAUCUGGCAUGUCCAGCCAGUGGUUAAGCCAUGUUUGGCAAGUGGAUCAGUGCAGUCCAGCAGGUGGAACAGUGGUGUCUGGCAGUUGGUUGCAGGACAUCUGGGGGUGGUUCCGGCCUGUCCAGAGCUGGUUCUGUCAUGUCGGGCAGGUGGUUCGAGCGUGUCUGUCACAUGGUUCCUGUGUGUCAGGAAUGUGGUUCUGUCAUGUCCAUAAAGUGGUUCAGGUUGGCAAAGAAGCUGGUCAGUUCUGACUUCUCUGGCAGUUGGUUCUGGCAUGUCCAGCACCUGGUUCUGGCGUAUCCGCCGGGUGGUUUCACAGUGUCUGGCACCUGUUUGAGCUGUAUCUGAGAGCUGGUUCUGGCAUUUCUGGCAGGUGGAUCCGGGGUGUCAGGCAGGUGGUUCCAGCAUGUCCAGGCAGUGGCUCAGGAAUGUUUGGCGGGUGGAUCAGUGCUGUCUUGCAGGUGGGUCAGUCAUGUCCAGUGGUUGGUUGCAACAUAUGCGGGAGUGGUUCCAGCAUGUCCAGAAGUUGGUUCCAUCAUGUCUGGCUGGUGGUUCCGGCAUGUCAGUCAUGUGGUUCCAGCGUGUUCAGCAGGUGGUUCACGCAAGUCUGGCAGGUGGUUCAGGUGUGUCCUGGAGGUGGUUCUGGUGUGUCCAGCACCUGGUUUUGGCCUGCCUGGCAUGUGGUUCCAGAAUGUCUGUAUAGUGUUUCAGGUUGCUCCAGUAGGUGUUUCAGGCUUGUCCAGCAGCUGCUUCAGGCAUGUCCAACACCUGGUUCCAGCCUGUGCUGGACCUGUUUCUGCUGUAUCUGGCAGAUGGUUCCAGCUGUCCGAAGGUGGUUCCAGAGUGCCCAGAACAUGGUUUUGGCGUAUCUGACAGGUGAUUUGGAUGUUUGGCAGGUGUUUCCAGCAUGUCCGGCACCUGAUUCUGGUGUUUUUGGCAGGUGGUUUCAGUGUAUCUGGCACCUGGUUCUGGAGUAUCCAACAGGUGGUUCUGGCAUGUCUGGCAGGUUGUUUCUGUGUGUCUGGCAUGUCAUUCAGGUACAUUCAGAAGGUGGUUCCAUUGUGUGCUGUGUGUGCUUCCGACAUGUCAUGCACUGGUUCAGGUGUGUCUGGUGGGUGAUUCUGUCGUGUCCAGCAGGUGGUCACAGAGCAUCUGGCAGUUGGUUGCACCAUGUCCCAGACCUGAUUCUGGUGUGUGUGGAACAUUGCUCUGGUGUGUCAGUGGUGGUUCCAGUGUUUCUGGCAGUUGGUUCCAGCAUGUCUGGUGGGUGGUCCUGGCAUAUAAGGAGCCUGGUUCCAGUGUAUCCAGCAGGUGAUUUUGGCAUGUCCAAUAUAUGGUUCUUGCAAGUCAAGCAGGUGUUUCUGGCGAGUCAAGCAGGUGCUUCUGGCAUGUUGGGCAGGUGGUUCAGGUGUUCCCAGCAGGUGUUUCAGGCCUGUCCAUAAGGUGGCUCUGGCAUGUUCAGCAGUUGGUUCCAGCAUGUCAGGCAGGUGGUUCAUGCGUUUCCAGUGGAUGGUUCCGGUAUGUCCGUCGGGUAGUUCCGGCAUGUCUGGCAGGGUGUUCAGACGUAUCUGUCAGUUGGUCCAGUUGCAUCUGGCACACAGUCCAGGCAUGGUCAGCCCGUGGUCCAGUCACUUCUGAAAUGUGGAUCUGACAUGUCCAAUAUGUGGACCGGCAUGUCUGGCACCUGAUUCAGGCCUCUUCAAGAGGUGCUUUGGGGUUGUCCAGCAGGUGGUCUGGGUGUUUCUGGCAAUAGACUCCAGAAUGUCCAGCAUGUCCUACCAGUAUGUCUGGCCUAUGGUUCUGGCAUUUCCAGCAGGCAGUUCCUGUGUAUCUUACACCUGGCUCUGGCGUGUUCAGCAGGUGGUUCUGGCAUGUCCACCAGAGGAUUCCAGCGUGUCCCGAAGGUGGCUAUGGCAUAUCUGGCAGGUGUUUCAGUUCUGUCCAGCACCUGGUUCUGGCAUGUGUGACACCUGUUUCUGGCAUAUCAGGCAGGUGGCUCCAUCGUGUCUGGCAGGUGUUUCACAGAAUUCUGGCAGGUGGUUCAGGCAGCAGGUGGGACUGGCAUGUCAGGCACCUCAUUCCAGUGUGGCAGGCAUGUGGCUCCGGAAUAUGAGACUAACUGUCAGACACACCAGAACUACCUUCCAGACAUGCCUGAACCACCAGCUGGACAUGACACAACCACCUGCUUGUCUUGCCAGAACACCCUGACGGACAUGCUGAAAUCACCUGACUGAUGUGUUGGAACCACUGAUCAGAUAUGGCAGAACCGGGUGCCAGACACUGUGAAACCAUCUGCUGGAUACCCCAGAACAAGGUGCCAGACAUGCCAGAACCACCUGCUGGACACGACAGAAACUCAUGCCAGACAAAACUGAACCACCUGCCAGACAAGACUGAACCACCUGCCGGACACUCGGGAACCACGUGCCAGGAACACUGGAACCACCUGUUAGAUAUGCCAGAACCAGGUGGCAGACUUGCUGCAACCACCUGCUUGACUUGCCAGAACACCUGACAGACAUGCCAAAAUCACCUACUGGACACACCAGAACCACCACCCGAACACGCUGAAACCACCAACCUGACAUGACAGAAUCAGGUCCCAGACACGAUGGCAUCACCCUCCAGACAUGCAGGAACCAACUGCCAGAAACCCCAGAAGCACCCACCAGACAAGUCGGAACCACCUUCCAGACAUACCAGAAACUCAUGUCAGACACACAGGAACCCCCUGCCUGGCAUGCUGGAGCCACCUGAAUGACACACCAGUACCACUGGCUGGACAUGCCAGUAUCACUUCCCAGACAAAGCUGAACCACCUGCCAGAAAAGACUGAACCUCCUGCUGGAUUCACCUGAACCACUUGAUGGACAAUCUGGAACCACAUGCCAUGCAUGCCAGAACCACAUGUCAGGUAUGCCAGAACCAGGAGCCAGACUCACCUAAACCACCUUCUGGACAGGCCUGAACCACCUGCUGGACAUGCCUGAACCACCUGCCAGACACGCCGAUACCACCUGUUUGACUCACUGGAACCACCUGCUGGACACGCCAAAAUCACCAUCCAGAUAUGCCGGAACAAGGCCCCUUAUACUCCAGAACAACCCAAAACACAUGCCAGAACCACUCACUGGACACACUGGAACCACCACUCAGACACGCCAGAAGCACCCAUAGGACACACUGGAAUCAACUGCUGGACAUGCCGGAAGCACCCACCAGACACACUGAAACCACCUUCACAAGGUAACAGAACCACAUACCAGACACACCUGAACCACCUGCCAGAUGCACUGGAACCACCUGUUGGAUAUGCUGGAACCAGGUGGCAGAUACAUUGAAACUACCUGCUGAAUAUGCCAGAACCAGGUGAUGGACACACCAGAACCAUCUGCCAGACAAGCCAGAGCCACUUCCCAGACAGGCUGGAACAACCUGCAGGACACACCAAAAUCUCCUGCCAGAUACCCCGGAACCAGGUCCUGGAUAUGCCAGAACCAACUUCCAGACAAGCCAGAAAAACCUUCCAGAAACACUGGAACCACCAAAUGGACAUGCCGAACCCACCAACCAUACAUAAUGGAAUCAGGUCAUGGACACACUGUAGCCUCCUGCUAGACAGGCCGGCGUCACCUGCCGGACAUGAGGGAACCAAUGGCCAGACACCCCAGAAGCACCCACCGGACACGUUGGAACCACCUUCUGGACAUACUGGAAACUCAUGCCAGACUCUCAGGAACCCCCUUCCUGACACAUUGGAACCACCUAAAUGACACGUUGGUACUACUGGCUGGACAUGCCGGAACCACCUGCCAGACAAAAUUGAACCACCUGCCAGAUAAGACUGAAGCACCUGCUGGAUAUACCUGAACCACUUGAUGGACACUCCAGAACCACAUGCUGGGCAAGUGGGAACCACCUGUCAGAUAUGCCAGAACCAGAUGCCAGACACACAAGAAAGAGGUCCAGCACAGGCUGCAACCAGGUGCCAGAGAAGUCUGAAGCAGCUGCCGGACUACCUGAAACAACUGCUCUACAAGCAGGAACCACUUUACAGACAUUCCCGAAAUACAUGCUGGGCACACUGGGACCAGGUGAGCGAUGCCAGAACCACCUGCUGGACAUGCUGGAGCCACAAGCCAGAUAUACCAGAGACAGGUGUCACACACGAAGCGAACCAGGUGUUGGACACAAUUGAACCACCUGCCAGACAAGUCUGAACCACCUGCUAGACUCAACUGCACCACCUGCUGGACACACUGGGACAACAUUCAGGAUGCAUGAAACCAUCUGGUGGACAUGCCAGAACCACCUUCAGGACACAUCGAAACCACCUGCUGCACAUGCCUGAACCACGUGCUGGACCCACUGCAACCACCUGUUUGACUUGCUGGAACCACCAGCCAGACACACCAAAAUCACCUGCCAGAUACGCCAGAACCAGGCCCCUUAUAUGCUGAAUAAACCCGCCAGAUAUGCCAGAAGCACCCACCGGACAAACUGGAACCACCACUCAGACACGCUGGAACCAUCCGCCCAACACACAGGAACCAAAUGCUGGACAUGCCAGAAGCACCCAACGUACAUGCUGGAAACACCUUCCGAACAUACCAGAACCACAUGCCAGACACACAGGAACCACCUGCCAGACAUGGCGGGACCACCUGUUGGAUAUGCCCUAACCAGGUGCCAUAUACACUGAAACCACCUGCUGAAUACACCAGAACCAGGUGCUGGACAUGGUGGAAACACCUGCCAGACACAUACAAAUCACUUGUCGGAUAUGCUGAAAGCAUGUGCUGGACAUGCCAGAACCACAUCCUGGACACGCUGGAACCAUCUGCCGGAUACACCAGAAACAGGUCCCACACAGUCCAGAACCAGGUGCUGGACAAGCCUGAAGCAGCUGCUGGACUAGCCUGAACCACCUGCUGGACCAGCCUGAACCACUUUAAGGACAUUCUGGGACCACAUGCUGGGCACACUGUAACCAGGUGCCCAACAUGCCAGAACCACCUGCUGGACACGCCUGACACACCUGCCAGGCUUGCAUGAACCACCUUCUGGACACGCCAGAACCACCUGUCGGAUACAACAGAAACAGGUGUUGCACAUGUCAAAACCAUGUGCUGGACAUGCCUGAACCACCUGCCAGACUUGCAUGAACCAACUGCUGGACAUGCUGGAACCAACUGCCAGAUAUGCCAGAAACAGGUGCUGCACACACCAGAACCAGGUGCUGGACAUGACUGAACCAACUGCCAGACAAGCCUGAACCACCUGCUGGACAUGACUGAACUAUCUACUGGACACCCCAGAACUAGCUUCAGGAUGUGCCGGAACCAUCUGGUGGAAAAUCUGGAAGAACCUGCCGAACAUGCUGGAACCAGGUGCCUGACACACCGGAACCGCCUGCUGGACACCCCCAAAGCACCUCACAUAGAGGCCUGAAUCAGAUGCCAGACACGUCCAAACCACCUUUUGGACACAUCAGAACCACGUUUCAGAAAUGCCUGGACCACAGGACGGCCAUGCCAGGACCAUGUGCUGCAUGCAACUGGACCAGCUGACAGACAUGCAUGAACAACCUGCCAAACACACCAGAACUACCCGCCAGACAUAAUGGAACCAUCCACCGGAAACACCUGAACCACCUGCCUGACAUGCUGGAACCAACUGCCGGACACAUUGGAACCACCACCCGGACAUUCUGGAACCAUGCACUGGACAUGCCAGAAUUAGGUCCUGGACAUGCCAGAAGCACCUGCCAGACACGCUGGAACCACAUGCGGGAACCAGCAGAAUCACCUGCCAGGACACAACAGAACCACCUUCCAGACACGCCGGAACCACCUGACUGACAUGGCGGAACCACCUUCUGGACACGCUGGAACCACCCCCAGAUAUGCUGCAACUGACUGCCAGACAUGGCUUAACCACUGGCUGGACACACUGGAACCAUCUGCCUGACAGCCCGGAAACACCUGACAGACACACUGGAACCACCUGUCGGAUAUGGCGGACCCAGGUCCCGGACACCGUGAAACCACCUGCCGCAUAUGCCAGAACCACCUGCUGGGCAAGCUGGAACCACCUGCCAGACAUGCUGGAACAACCUGAUGGACAAGCCAAAAUCACCAGCCAGACUUGCAUGAAAUACCUGCUGGACAUGCCAGAACCACCUACCGGAUAUGCUAGAAACAGGUGUCGCACAUGAGGGAAGCAGGUGCUGGACACGACUGAACCACCUGUUCCACAAGGCUGAACGACCUGCUGAACAUGACUGAACCACUUGCUGGAUAUGCCAUAACCACCUUCAGGACUCAUCAGAACCAUCUGGUGGACAUGCCAGAACGACCUGCCGAACAAGCCAGAGCCACGUGCUGGACAUGCUAGUACUGCCUGCUGAACAUGCCGGAACCACAGGCCAGACAUACUGGAAGAACACGCUGGACAUGCCAGAACCACUUGCCAAACACACCCGGACCACCCGCCAGACACCCCCAAAUCACCUCCCAGAAACGCCUGAACCACCUGCCUGACAUGCUGGAACCAACUGCGGGACAUGUCGGAACAACCACAAGGAUACUCUGGAACCACCCACCAGAGAUGGCUGAAUCAGGUCUCGGCAGGCCGAAAGGACCAGCUGGACAUGCUGGAACCACCUGUGGAACCGCCAGAAUCGUGUUGGUGGUUUUGGUGUGUCCAGGUGGUGGUUCCAGCGUGUCUGGCAGGUUUUUCCAGGACCUGGUUCCGGCAUACGCGGCAGGUGAUUUUGGCGUGUCCAACAGGUUGUUUUGGUGUGUCAGGCAGGUGGUUCCGGUUUGGCCAGCAGGUAGUUCUGUUGUAUCCAGCACCUGGUUCUGGCAUAUCUGACAGGUUGUUGCAUGGUGUCUGGCACCUGGUUCCACCAAAUCUGACAGGUGGUUCUGGCGUGGUCGGAAGGUGGUUCAGUUGUAUCCAGUGGGUGAUUCCGGUGCUUCCCCAAGGUGGCUCCAGCAUGUCCAGCAGGUGCUUCCAGCAUGCCUGGGACCUGUUUCUGGUGUCUCUGGCGGGUCAUUCCAGAGUGUCCAGGUGGUGGUUCCAAUGUUUCCGGCAGUUAGUUCCAGCAUGUAAGGCAGGUAGUUCAGGCAUUUCCUGUGGAUGGUUCUAGUAUAUCCGGCAGGUAGUUCCAGCAUGUCUGGCUGGUUGUUCAGGCGUGUCUGUCAGCUGGUCCACCUGCAUCCGGCACAUGGUCCAGGCAUACCCAUCCCGUGGUACAGGCAUUUCUGAAACGUGGUCCUGACGUGUCUGAAUGGUGGUUUGGGUGUGUUCAGUAGCUGCUACAGGCCUCUCUGGGAGGUGCUUUGGUGGUCCAGGUGUGUCUGUCAAGUGGUUCCGGCAUGUCCAGGGUGUCCUUCCAGUAUGUCUGGCCUGUGGUUCCAGCAUGCCGAGCAGGUGGUUGCAGCGUCUGGCACCUGGUUCCAGCAUGUUCGGCAGGUGGUUCCAGCAUGUCCACCACAUGGUUCCUUCGAAUCCAGAAGGUGGUUGGGGCGUGUCCACCAGGUGGUUCAGUCGUGCCCAGCAGGUGUUUCAGGCGUGUCUGGAAGGUGGUUCCAGCAUAUCUGGCAUGUGAUUUCGGUGUGUCUGGCAGGUUGUUUCGGAGUGUUAGGCAGGUGGUUACGGCUUGUCUGGCAGGUGUCUGGCGUGUGGUUCUGGUACAUCCAGAACGUGGGUCUGGCGUGUCCUGUGGCUGCUUCCGGCAUGUCCAGCAGUUGGUUCUGGCGUGUGUGGCUGGUGGUUCUGGAGUGUCUGAGUGUUGGUUCCAGUGUGUCCGGGGGGUGGUUCUGGCAUGUCUGUUGGGUUGUUCCAUCGUAUAAGGGGCCUGGUUCUGACGUAUCUGUCAGGUGAUUUCUGCAUGUGUGGCAGGUGGUUCCGGCAAGUCAAGCCUGUGGUUCCAGCGUGUUUGGCAGGUGGUUCAGACCUGUCUGGAAGGUGAUUCCGGCAAGUCCAGCAUCUGGUUCUGGCAUAUCUGACAGGUGGUUCCGGCAUGCCUGGAAUGUGGUUCCAGAGUGUCUGUCAAGUGGUUUAGGCAUAUCCGGCAGGUGGUUCAGUCUUGUCCAGCAGGUGGUUCAGUUUUUCUGGUGGGUGGUUCUGGCAUGUCUGGUCAGUGGUACUGACGUGUCAUUGAGUUGGUUCCAGCAUGUCCGUAGGUGGUUAAGGCAUGUCCAGCACCUGGUUCAGGCAUAUCUGACUGGUGGUUCUGGCAUGCCCGGUAUGUGGUUUCAGAGUAUCCGUCAAGUGGUUCAGGGAUAUCUGGUAGGUGGUACAGUUUUGUCUGGCAGGUGGUUCUGGCAUGUCCAGCCAGUGGUACUCGCUUGUCAUUCAGGUGGUUCCAGCAUGUCAGGGAGGGGGUUACUGUGUGUCUGGCAUGAGUUUCUGGUAUGUCCAGAAUGUGGUUCCGAUGUGUCCAGUGGGUGCUUCCAGGGUGUCCGGCAGUUGGUUCCCACAUGUCCAGCAGGUGAUUCUGGCGUGUCCAGGACCUGAUUCUGUUGUGUUGGGUUGGUGGUUCCGGGAUGUCUGGCAGGUUUUUCUGGCCUGUCUGGAAGUUGGUUCUGGUGAGUCUGGGACCUGGUUCCGGAGUAUCCAACAGGUGAUUUAGGCCUGUCAGGCAGUUAGUUCUGGCAUGUCUGACAGGUGACUCUGUCUUGUCUGGCAGGUGGUUCUGGCAUGUCUGGCACCUGGUUCUGGCAUAUCUGACAGGUCCUUCCGGCAUGUCCGGGACAUGGUCCUGUCAUCUCCGGUGCAUGGUUCCAGAGUGUCUGGGUGGUUUUUCUGACGUUCUGGCAGUUGGUUCCAGUGUGCCAGGCAACCGGUUCAGGCAUUUCUAGUGGAUGGUACCGGUAUGUCUGGCAGCUAGUUCUGUCGUGUCCAACAGGUUGUUCAGGCGUGUCUGUCAGCUGGUCCACAUGCAUCCAGCACAUGUCCAGGCAUGGCCGUCCCAUGGUCCAGACAUUUCUGACCAUGGUUCUGAUGUGUCCAAAGUGUGGUUUGUGCAUGUCCAGCAUCUGAUUCAGGCCUCUCCGGGAGGUGUUUUGGGGGUGUCCAGAAGGUUGUCCAGGUAUGUCUAGUAAGUGUUUCUGGCGUGUCUGGCGUGUCCUUCAAGUAUGUCUGGCCUGUGGUUCUGGCAUGUCCAGAAGGUGGUUCCAGUGUGCCCAACACCUGGCUCUAGCGUGUUCAGCAGGUGCUUCCAGCAUGUCCAAUAAAUGGUUCUGGUGCGUCCUGAAGGUGGUGAUGGCAUGUCGGGAAGGGGGUUCAGGUUUGUUUGGCAGGUGGUUCAGUCAUUUCCAGCACUUGGUUCCAGCAUGUGCGAGAUCUGUUUGUGGAAUAUCCAGCAGGUGGCCCCAGUGUUUCCAGCAGGUGGUUCAUUAUGUCCAGCACCUGGUUUCAGUGUGUGUAACACCUGUUUCUGGCAUAGCCAGCUGGUUGUUCUGGUGAUUCUGGUAGGUGGUUCACGCAAGUCUGGCAGGUGGUUCAAGCAUGUUCAGCAGCUGUUCUAGCAUAUUGGUCACCUGGUUCUGCUGCUCCAGGCAUGUGGUUCCGGAAUGUCCAUAAAUUGGUUCAGGCUGGUCCAGCAGGUGGUUCAGGCUAGUCCGAAAGAGGCUCCAUGCUUGCCUGGCACCUGGUUCCAGCCUGUGCUGUUCCUGUUUCUGGAGUAUCCAGCAGAUGCUUCCGGCCUGUCCAGGAGGUGCUUCCGACGUGUUCGGCAGAUGGUUUCAGUGUAUCCAACAGGUGAUUUGGAUGUGUCCAGCAGGUGUUUCCGGAGUGUCUGGGACUUGGGUCUGGCAUAUUCGGCAGGUGGUUUCAGUGUAUCCAGCAGGUGGUUCUGGCAUAUCCAACAUGUGGUUCCAGUGUGUCUGGCAGAUGGUUCAUGCGUGUCUGGCAUGUGAUUCUGGUACGUUCAGAAGGUGGUUCUGGCCUGUCCAUUUGGUGCUUUCGGUGUGUCUUAGUGGUGGUUCUAGAGUGUCCAGUGGAUGGUUUCAGCAUGUCUGGUGGGUUGUUCUGGCGUAUAAGUGGCCUGGUUCCAGCAAGUCUAGCUGGUGGUUCUGGGAUGUCCUGCAGGUGGUUCAGUCUUGUCUGGCAGGUGGUUCAGUUUUGUCUGGCAGGUGGUUCCAGCAUGUCUGGCCAGUGGUACCAGCGUGUCAUUCAGGUGGUUCCAGCAUGUCAGGCAGGGAUUUCCUGUGUGUCUGGCAUGAGUUUCUGGUAUGUCCGGAAGGUGGUUCCCACGUGUCCAGUGGGUGCUUCUGGCAUGUCCGGCAGUUGGUUCUGCAUGUCCAGUGGGUGAUUCGGCAUGUCUGGGACCUGAUUCCAUCAUCUUGAGUUGGUGGUUUCGGCAUUUCCAGGUGGUGGUUCCAGCAUGUCCUGCAGGUAUUUCCGGCCUGUCCAGAAGAUAGUUCUGGCAUAUUCUGGACCUGCUUACCGCAUGUCCAGCGGGUGGUUCACGCAAGUCUGGCAGGUUGUUCAGGUGUGUCCAUCUGGUGGUUCUGGCUCGUCUGGCACCUGGGUCCAGCAUAUCUAACUGGUAGUGCUUGCAUGUCCAGCGAGUGAUUCUGGCAUGUCCAGCAGCUGGCUGCAGCAUGUGCAGGACCUGAUUCCGCCAUGUCAGGUUGGUGGUUUCGGCAUGUCUGGGUGGUGGUUCUGGCAUGUCUGGCAGGUUUUUCUGGGCUGUCUGGAAGUUGUUUCUGGUGUAUCCAGGCACCUGAUUCUGGCGUAUCUGGCAGGUGAUUUUGGUGUGUCAGGCAGGUUGUUCUGGUGUGUCUGGCAGGUGGUUCCGGCUUUUCUGGCAGGUCAUUCUGGCAUCUCUGGCACCUGGUUCUGCGUAUCCAGCAGGUGGUUUCAUGGUAUCUGGCACCUUGUUCCCCCGUAUCCAACAUGUGCUUCCGGCACGUCUGGCAGGUGAUUCCGGGGUGUCAGGCAGGUGGUUCUGGUGUGUCUGGCCGGUGGUUCAGCCAUGUUUGGCAGGUGGAUCAGUGCAGUCCAGCUGACACAUCAGUUAUCUCUGGCGGUUGGUUGCAGAAUAUCCGGGGGUGUUUCUGGCCUGUACAGAAGGUGGUCCCAUCAUGUUGGGCAGGUGAUUCUUGCGUGUCCGUCACAUGGAUCUGGCCUGUCCGGAAGGUGGUUCUUUUGUGUCCAUAAAGUCAUUCAGGCUGGUCCAUAAGGUGAUUCUGGUUUCUCUGGUAGGUGGUUCUGGUGUGUCUGGCACCUGGUUCUGGUGUAUCUGCCAGGUGGUUCCAUGGUGUAUGACACCUGUUUCAGUCGUAUCUGACAGGUGGAUCUGGCGUUUCUGGCAUGUGGAUCCGGGGUGUCAGGCAGGAGGUUCCAGUGUGUCCAGCUGGUGGUUCAGCCAUGUUUGGCGGGUGGAUCAGUGCAGUCCAGCAGGUGGAUCAGUCGUGUCUGGUGGUUGGUUGCAGCAUAUCUAGGGUGGUUCCAGCGUGUACAGAAGGUGGUUCCAUAGUGUCUGGCUGGUGGUUCUGGCAUGUCAGUCAAGUGGUUCUGGGGUGUCCGGAAGGUGGUUCCAUCGUGUCUGGCGGGUGAUUCUGCUAGCUCACACAGGUGGUUCCAGUGUGUCCAGCAGGUGCUUCCAGCGUUUCUAGGACCUGAUUCUGGCUUCUCCAGCAGCUGGUUCCAGAGUGUCUGGGUGGUAGUUCCAACAUGUCUGGCAGUUGGUUCCAGCAUGUCAGGCAAGUGGUUCAGGCGUUUCUGGUGGAUGGUUCUGGUGUGUCCAGUGGGUAGUUCCGGCGUGUCCGGCAUGUUGUUCAGGCAUGUCUGUCAGUUGGUCCAACUGCAUCCGGCAUAUGGUCCAGGCAUGGCACUUCUUUGGUCCAGAUAUUUCUGAAGCAUGAUUCUGACAUGUCUGAAAGGUGAUUUGGGUGUGUCUGGCAGCUGAUUCAGGCCUCUCUGGGCAGGGUUUGGGGGUGUCCGGCAGGUGGUACAGGUUGGUCUGGCAAGUGGUUCCAGUGUGUCCGGUGUGUCCUUCCAGUAUGUCUGGCCUGUGGUUCCAGCAUGUCCAGCAGGCAAUUCUGGUGUGUCCAGCACCUGGCUCUGGCAUGUUCAGCAGGUGAUUCUGGCAUGUCCAACAGAUGGCUCUGGUGAAUCCUGAAUGUGGUCACAGUGUGUCCAGCCAGUGGUUCAGUCGUGCCCAGCAGGUGGUUCAGGUUGGUCAGGCAGGUGGUUCAGUUGUGUUCAGCACCUGGUUCCAGCAUGUCCGAUACUGUUUUUGGUGUAUCAGGCAGGUGGUUCCAUCAUGUCCAGUAGAUGGUUCAUGCAAGUCUGGCAGGUGGCUCAGGCAUGUCCAGCAGGUGGUUCUGGCGUGUUGGGCACCUGGUUCCAGUGUGCCUGGCAUGUGGUUCCGGAAUGUCUGUAAAGUGGUUCAGGCUGGUCCAGCAGGUGGUUCAAGCUAGUCCGGCAGCUGCUUCAGGCUUGACUGGCACCUGGUUCCAGCCUGUGCUGGACGCAUUUCUGGUGUAUCUGGCAGAUGCUUCUGGCAUGUCCGGGAAUGGUUCCGGCAUGUCCAAGACAUGGUUUUGGCAUAUCUGACAGGUGAUUUGAAUGUGUCUGGCAGGUGUUUCCCCCGUGUCUGACACAUGGUUCUGGCACAUUCGGCAGGUUUGUUCAGUGUAUCUGGCAGCUGGUUCCAGCAUAUCCAACAAGUGGUUCCAGCAUGUCUGGUAGGUGGUUCCUGUGUGUCUGGCAUGUGGUUCUGGUACAUUUGGAAGGUGGUUCUAGUGUGUUUGGUGGGUGCUUCCAGUGUGUCCAGCAUUUGGUUCUGGCGUGUCUGAGUGGUGCUUCCAGAGCGUCCGGUGGCUGGUACUGGCAUGUCUGGUGGGUUGUUUAGGCAGAUAAGUGGCCUGGUUCCAGCAUAUCUGGCAGGUGAUGUCGGCGUAUCUGGCAGGUGGUUCAGCUUUGUCUGUCAGGUGGUUCCGGGAUGUCUUGCCAGUGGAACCACGUGUCAUUCAGGUAGUUCCAGUGUGUCUGGCAUGAGUCUCUGGUAUGUCUGCAAGGUGGCUCUGACGUGUCUGUUGGGUGCUUCCAGGGUGUCAGGCAGUUGGUUCCCACAUGUCCAGCGGGUCAUUAUGGUGUGUCCAGCAGUGGCUACGGUUUGUCCGGGAUCUGAUUCGGUCAUGUCAGGUUGGUCGUUUUGGCGUGUCCAGGUGGUGGUUCUGGCAUGUCUGGAAGGUUUUUCCAACCUGUCUGGAAAUUGGUUCUGGCAUAUCUGGGACCUGGUUCUGGCGUAUCUGGCAGGUGAUUUCAGCAUGUCCAGCAUGUGGUUCCAGCCUGUCUGGCAGGUGUUUCUGGCGUCUCCUGAAGGUGGUUCUAGUGUGUCCGAGACCUGGUUCUGGCAUAUCCAGCAGGUGAUUUCACUGUGUCCGGCAACUGGUUCUGCUGUAUACGACAGGUGCUUUAGCUUGUCUGGCAGGUGGUUUUGGAAUGUCAGGCAGGGGGUUCCUGUGUUUCUUGCAUGAGUUUCUGGUAUGUCCAUAAGGUUGUUCUGGCGUGUCAUCUGGGUGCUUCUGGCAUGUCUGGCAGUUGGUUCUCACAUUUCCAGCGGGUGAGUCUGGCAUGUCUGGCAGGUGGCUAUGGCGUGUCCGGGACCUGAUUCCGUCAGGACCUGUUGGUGGGUUUGAUGUGUACAGGUGGUGGUUCCAUCGUCUCUGGCAGGUGGUUCUGGCAUGUCAGUCAGUUGGUUCCGUCAUGUCCUGCAGGUGCUUCCAGCAUGUCCUGGACCUGAUUCUCGCAUCUCUGUUGGGUGGUUCCGGAGUGUCUGGAUGGUGGUUCCGACGUCUCUGGCAGUUGGUUCCAGUGUGUCAGACAGGUGGUUCACGCGUGUCCGGUGGGUGAUUCUGGCAUCUGCAACAGAUGGUUCUGGUGCGUUCAGAAGGUGGUUUCGGCAUGUCUGGCAGGUGGUUCAGGCAUCUCCAGCAGAUUGUUCACUCUUAUCCUGCAGGUCACUCAGUAGUGUGGGGCACCUGGUUCCGGUGUGUGCUGCAUCUAUUUCUGAUGUAUCUGGCAGGUGAUGCAGUUAUAUCUGGCAGAUGGUUCCAGAGUAUCAUGCAGGUGAUUUCGACGUGUCCGGUGGGUUGUUCCGGUGUGUCUGACACCUGGUUCUGGUGUAUCCGGCAGGUAGUUUCUGCGAAUGAGGCACCUUGUUCUGGCAUAUCCAACAGGUGGUUCCAGCAUGUCUGGUAGGCAGUUCCAGAGUGUCCAGCACAUGAUUCCAGUGUAUCCGGGAAGUAUUUUGACAUGUCCAGCAGGUGGUUUUAGCAUCUCCAGCACCUGGUUCUGUUGUAUCCAACAGUCGGUUAUGGAGUGUCUGGCAUGUGGUUCCGGUGUGUGUGGCUGGUGGUUCCAGUGUAUCAGUCACUUGGUUCUGGCAUGUCUUGGAGGUGGUUCAGUCAUGUCCAGUACCUGGUUUUGUGUGUGCAACACCUGUUUCUGGAGUAUCUGUCAGGUGGUUCUGGUGCAUCUGGCAGGCGGUUCAGGCAUGUCCAGCAGGUGGUUCUGGCAUGUCAGGCACCUGAUUCUGGCAUGUCCGGCAGGUGGUUCCGGACCAUCCAGCAGGAGGUUGCGCCGUGUCCCCUACCUGAUUCCAGGGUGUGUGGCAGGUGGUUCUGGUGUGUCUUAGUGGUGGUUCCAGAGUGUCUGGCGGGUGGUUCCAGCAUGUGUGGUGGCUUGUUCCGGCAUUUAAGGAGCUUGGUUCUGGGGUAUCCAGCAGGCAAUUUCGGCUUGUCUGGCAGGUGGUUCCAGCGAGCCAAGCAGGUGGUUCUGGUGAGUCAAGCAGUUGGCUCUGGCAUGUCCGGCAGAUGGCUCAUGCAUGUCCAGCAGGUGGUUCAGGCCUGUCUGGAAGGUGGUGCUGGCAUGUCUGGCACCAGGUUUGGGCAUAUCUGACAGGUGGUUCCGGCGUGUCCAGAAGGUGGUUCUGUUGUGUCCAGCGGGUGGUUCUGGCAUGCCCAGGACAUGGUUCCAUCGUGUGUGACAGUUGAUUCUGGUGUGUCCAGUGGGUAGUUCAGCUGUGUUUGGCAGGUGGAUAAGUGGUGUCUGGCUUGUGGAUCAAUCUGUCCUGCUUGUGGUUACUGUGUGUCUGCGGCAUGGUUCCUGCAUGUCAGAAAGGUGGUUCUGUUGUCUCAGGAAACUGGUUCUGGCAUGUCCAUCAGGUGGUUCUGGCAUGUCUGGUGGGUUGUUCAGGCAUGCCCGUCAGCUGGUGCAGGUGCUUCCAGCACCUGGUACAGGCAUAGCCGUCCCGUGGUCCAGGCAUUUCUGAAACGUGUUUCUGACAUGUCAGAAUGGUGGUUUGGGUGUGUCCAGAGGGGGUUCGGGCAUGUCUGGCAGGUUCUUCGGGCGUUUGCAGCAGGUGGUCCAGGUGUAUCGGGUGGGUGGCUCCAGCGUGUCUGUCACGACCUUCCUGCAUAUCUGGUCUGUGGAUCUGGCUUGUCUGGCUGGUGGUUAAGGGUUGUCCAGCGGGUGGUUCCAUCGUGUCCAGCGGGUGGUUCUGGCGAGCCCAGCAUCUGGUUCUGGCAUAUGUGGCAGGUGGAUCCUGCAUGCCAGGCAGGUGGUUCUGGAUUGUCCCUCCAGUGUUUAAGGCAUACCCAGCAGGAGGUUCCGUCUUGUCCAGCAGGUGGUUCCAGCGUGUCCAGCAUGUGGCUAGAACGAGACCGGAAGGUGGUUCUGUCAUGUCCACUGGGCAGUUCUGGAAUUACCAGUGGAUCAUUUCGUUAUGUCCGGCAGAUAUUUCUGACAUGUCCAGCAGAUUGUUGAGGUGUGUCCGUUAGGUAGGCCAGGUGCACCUGGCAUGUGUUCCAGGCAUGGCCAUCCAAUGGUCCAGGCAUUUCUGAAACGUCAUUCUGACAUGUCCAAAAGGUGAUUUGGGUGUGUCAGGUGGGUGGUUCAGGAGUGUCCAGCACCUGGUUCUGGUGUACCUGACAGGUGGUUCUGGCGUCCGGCACCUGAUUCCAGCCUAUCCAGCAUGUGGUUUCAGAGUAUCAGGCACCAGGUUCCGGUGUGUGCUGCAACUGUUUCUAGUAUAUCCAGCAGGUGGUUCCGGGAUGUACGACAGCUGAUUCUGGCGUGUCUGGAACAUGGUUUGGGCAUAUCUGGCCGCUAACUUUGAAGUGUCAGCCAGGUGGUUCUGGUGUUUCCAGCAUCUGGUUCCACCGUAUCCAGCAUGUAGUUUCAGUGAAUCAAGCACCUGGUUCCAGCAUAUCUGACAGGUGUUUCCAGCAUGACUGAAAUGUGGUUCUGGCGUGUCCGGCAUGUAGUUCUGAUGUGUCAUUCAGGUGGCUCUGGCAUGUUCGGCAGGUGGUUCUGGCGGGUCCUGCAGGUGGCUCCAGCGUGUCUAGUGGGUGGAUGAAGUGUGUCUGCCUCGUGAUUGAGACAUGUAUGGCAAGUUGUUCAGUCUGGUCUGGGAGCUUUUUCAGGCUUGUCUGGCAGCUGGUUCUGGUGUUCCUGCCACCUAGUUCCAGUUAUAUGGGCAGGUGGUGCCAGCGUACCCUACAGGUGGUUCCUGCAUGUCUGGUGUGUGAUUUCUGCGUGUCAUUCAGGUGGUUCUGGCGUGUCAGUCAGGUGGUUCUGGCAUGUCCAGAACGUGCUUUCAUCAUGUCCAGCGAGUGGUUCCAGCGUGUCUGAGGAGUGGUUCUGGCAUAUCCAGAAUGAGGUUCUGUUGUUCGACAGGUGGCUCCGGUGUGUCAGGCAUGUGGUUCCGUCGUGUCUAGAAGGUGGUUCAGGUGUGUCCAGCAGGUGGUUCAAGUCUUUCCAGAAGGUGGUUCUGGCGUGUCCAUCACCUGGUUUGGACAUAUUUGACAGGUGGUUCUGGCGUGCCCAGCAUGUGUUUCAGAAGUGUCCGUCAAGUGGUUCAGACAUAUCCGACAGGUGGUUCAGUUUUAUCUGGCAGGUGGUUCCAGGAUGUCCGGCCACUGGUACCGGUGUGUCAUUCAGGUGGUUCCAGAAUGUCAGGUAGGGUGUUCCUGUGUGUCUGGCAUGAGUUUCCAGUAUGUCCACAAGGUGGUUCCAACAUGUCCAGUGGGUGCUUCCAGGGUGUCUGGCAGUUGGUUCCCGCAUGUCCAGUGGGUGAUUCCAGCAUGUCUGGCAGGUGGCUAUGGCAUGUCCGGGACCUGAUUCCAUUGUGUCAGGUUGGUGGUUUCAGCCUGUACGGGAGGGUGUUCUGGUGUGUCUGGCAUGUUUUUCCAGCCUGCCCAGAAGUUGGUUCUGGCAUAUCCAGGACCUGAUUCUGGUGUAUCUGGCAGGUCAUUUUGGUGUGUCCGGCAUGUUGUUCCAGUGUGCCUGGCAGCUGAUUCUGGCUUUUCUGGCAGGUGGUUCUGGGGUGUCCAGCACCUGGUUCUGUGUAUCCUGCAGGUGCUUUCACGGUAUCUGGCACCUGGUUCUCCUGUAUCUGACAGCUGGUUUGGGCAUGUCUGGCAGGUGAUUCCAGCGUGUCAGGCAGUUGGUUCUGGUGUGUCUGGCUGGUGGUUCAGCCAUGUUUGGCAGGUGGAUCAGUGCAGUCCAGCAGGUGGAACAGUCUUCUACGGUGGUUGGUUGCAGGAUAUCCAGGGGUCGUUCCAGCCUGUCCAGAUGCUGUUUCUGUCAUGUCCAACUGGUGAUUCCCUCGUGUCUGUCACAUGGCUCCUGCAUGUCUGGAAGGUGGUUCUGUCAUGUCCAUAAAGUGGUUCAGGCUGGCCCAGAAGCUGGUCAGUUCUGACUUCUGUUGCAGGUGGUUCUGGCAUGUCUGACACCUGGUUUUGGCAUAUCUGCUGGGUGGUUUCACGGUGUCUGGCACCUGGUUCAACCGUAUCCGACAGCUGGUUCUGGCAUUUCUGCAGGUGGAUCUGGGGUGUCAGGCAGGUGGUUCUGGCAUGUCUGGGCAGUGGUUCAGCCGAGUUUGGAGAGUGGACCAGUGCUAUCCUGCUGGUGGAUCAGUCAUGUCUGGUGGUUGGUUGCAGCAUAUCUGGGGUGGUUCCAUUUUGUCUGGCAGGUGGUUCCAGCAUGUCAGUCAGGUGGUUCCAGUGUGUGCAGCAGGUGGUUCACGCAAGUCUGGCAGGUGGUUCAGGCCUGUCUGGAGGUGGUUCUGGUGUGUCUGGCACCUUGUUUUGGUGUGCCUGGCAUGUGGUUCCAGGAUUCUGUAUAGUGUUUCAGGUUGCUCCAGCAGGUGUUUCAGGCUUAUCCAGCAGCUGCCUCAGGCAUGUCUGGCACCUGGUUCUGGCCUGUGAUGGACCUGUUUCUGGUGUAUCCAGCAGAUGGUUCUGGCAUGCCUGGGAGGUGGUUCCAGCAUGCCUGGCACAUGGUUUUGGCAUAUCCAACAGGUGAUUUGGAUGCAUCUGGCAAUUGUUUCUGGUGUGUCCAGCACCAGGUUCUGGCAUUUUUGGCAGGUGGUUUUAGUGUAUCUGGCACCUGUUUAUGGGGUAUCCAACAGGUGGUUCCAGAGUGUCUGGCAAGUCAUUUCUGUGUGUCUGGUAUGGGUUCAGGUACAUUCAGAAGGUGGUUCAGUUGUGUGCGGUGUUUGCUUCCAGCAUUUAAGGCAGUUGGUUCGUGAGUGUCUGGUGGUUGAUUCCUAUGUGUCCAGCAGGUGGUCCCAGAGUGUUUGACAGGUGAUUGCAACAUGUCCCGGACCUGAUUCCAGCAUGUGUGGAACAUUGUUCUGGCAUGUCUGAUUGGUGCUUCCCUUAUUUCUGGCAGUUGGUUCUGGAAUGUCUGGUGGGUGGUUCUGGCAUAUAAGGAGGCUGAUUCUGGCAUAUCCAGCAGGCAAUUUCGGCAUGUCUCACAGGUUGUUCCGGUGAGUGAAGUAGGUGUUUCUGGGGAGUCAAUCAGGUGCUUCCAGCAUGUUGGGCAGGUGGUUCAGGUGUGUCAUGUGGGUGUUUCAGGCCUGUCUAUAUGGUGUUUCUGGCAUGUCCAGUAGUUGGUUCCAGCGUGUCAGGCAGGUGGUUCUGGCAUUUCCAGUGGAUGGUUCUGGUAUGUCCAUUGUGUAGUUCCAGCAUGUCUGGAUGAUUGUUCAGAUGUGUCUGUCAGUUGGUCCAGCUGCAUCUGGUACAUAGUCCAGGCAUGGCUGUCCUGUGGUCUAGUCAUUUCUGAAACAUGGAUCUGGCAUGUCCAACACGUGGAUUGGCAUGUCCAGGCCCUGAUUCAGGCCUCUCCAGGAGGUGCUUUGGGGGUGUCCAGCAGGUGGUCCAGGUGUGUCUGGCAAUAUGUUCUGGCAUGCCUGGGGUGUCAUACCAGUAUGUCUGGCCUGUGGUUCUGGCAUUUCCAGCAGGCAGUUCCAGCGUAUCCAACACCUGGCUCCAGUGUGUUCAGCAUUUGGUUCUGCAUGUCCACCAGAGGGUUCCAGCAUGUCCUGAAGGUGGUUACAGCAUGUCCGGCAGGUGGUUCAGUCACGUCCAGCAGGCAGUUCAAGCUUCUCUGGCAGGUGUUUCAGUUCUGUCCAGCACCUGGUUCCAGCGUGUGUGACACCUGUUUCUGGCAUAUCAGGCUGGUGGCUCCAUCAUGUCUGGCAAGUGGUUCACAGAAUUCUGGCAGGUGGUUCAGGCAUGUCCAGCAGGUGGGACUGGCGUGUCGGGCAUCUGGUUCCAGCGUGCCAGGCAUGUGGCUCUGGAAUGUCAGACUAAAUGUUGGACAUGCCAGAACCACCUUCUGCACAUGCCUGAACCACCUGCCGGACACACUGCAACCACCUGCUUGACUCGCUAGAACCCCCUGAUGGAGAUGCUGAAAUCACCUGACUGAUGCACCAGAACCACUGGUCGGAUAUGGCAGAACCAGGUGCUGGACACUAUGAAACCAUCUACCGGAUACUCCAGAACAAGGUGCCGGACACGCCAGAACCACCUGCCAUACAUGACGGAAUCACAUACCAGACAAAACUGAACCACCUGCCAGACAAGACUGAACCACCUGCCGAAUACAUGUGAACCACUUGAUGGACACUCUGGAACCAUAUGCCAGGCACACCGGUACCACCUGUCAGAUAUGCCAGAACCAGGUGCCAGACUUACUGCAACCACCUGCUUGACUUGCCAGAACACCUGAUGGACAUGCCAAAAUUACCUGCUGGAUACACCAGAACCAGGUCCUGCAUACCUGAUGAAAGGGCGGAAAAAGCUGCCGGACACACCAGAACUGCCACCCAGCCACGCAAAAACCACCAACCUGACAGGACAGAAUCACGUCCCGGACACACCAGAAUCACCCCCCAGACAUGCAGGAACCAACUGCCGGAAACCCCAGAAGCACCCACAGGACAUGUCAGAACCAUCUUCCGGAUGUACCAGAAACUCAUGCCAGACACACAAGAACCCCCUGCCUGACACGCUGGAACCACCUGAAUGACACAUCGGUACCACUGGCAGGACAUGCCAGUAUCACCUCCCAGACAAAGCUGAACCACCUGCCAGAAAAGACUGAACCACCUGCUGGAUAUGCGUGAACCACUUGACAGACAAUCUGGAGCCACAUGCAAGGCAUGCCAGAACCACAUGUCAGUUAUUCCAGAACCAGGUGCUGGACACACCUAAACCACCUUCUGGACAUGCCUGAACCACCUGCCAGACAGGCCGAUACCACCUGUUUGACUCCCUGGAACCACCUGCUUGACACAUCAAAAUCACCAUCCAGAUAUGUCGGAACCAGGCCCCUUAAACACCAGAACAAUAUGACAGAUGUGCCAGAACUACUUGCUGGACACACUGCAACCACCACUCUGACAUGCCAGAACCACCCACUGAUAUGCUGGAACCAACUGCCAGACAUGCUGGAAGCACCCACUGGACAUGCUGGAAUGAUCUUCCGAAUGUAACAGAACCACAUGCCAGACACAACUGAACCACCUGCCAGACAUGCCAGAACCACCUUUUGGAUAUGGAGAACCAGGUGGCUGAUACACUGAAACUACAUGCUGAAUAUGCCAGAACCAGGUGCUGGACACAUGGACACCACCUUCAGGACAGGCCUGAAACACCUGCCAGACACGCC